This 253-nucleotide ribosomal RNA is filed under the name uncultured bacterium. Its description in RNAcentral is "partial 16S ribosomal RNA". It matches the Rfam family "Bacterial small subunit ribosomal RNA", at positions 524 to 776 of the family's 1533-position model. The record is from RNAcentral.
CACGUAGGGCGCAAGCGUUGUCCGGAAUUAUUGGGCGUAAAGAGCUCGUAGGCGGUUUGUCGCGUCGAAUGUGAAAACCCGGGGCUCAACCCCGGGCCUGCAUUCGAUACGGGCAGACUAGAGUUCGGUAGGGGAGUCUGGAAUUCCUGGUGUAGCGGCGAAAUGCGCAGAUAUCAGGAGGAACACCGGUGGCGAAAGCGGCUCACUGGACAGUAACUGACGCUGAUGCACGAAAGCUAGGGGAGCAAACAGG